This 1023-nucleotide long non-coding RNA is filed under the name Papio anubis (olive baboon). RNAcentral describes it as "lncRNA (ENSPANG00000040185.1)". The record is from RNAcentral. Lineage: Eukaryota; Metazoa; Chordata; Mammalia; Primates; Cercopithecidae.
UCUACCAGAUGCACAAAGAAGAGUUACUGAAACUAUUCCAAAAAAAUUUUUUUUUAUUAUACUUUAAGUUCUAGGGUACAUGUGCACAACGUGCAGGUUUGUUACAUAUGUAUACUUGUGCCAAGUUGGUGUGCUGCACCCAUCAACUCGUCAGCACCCAUCAACUCGUCAUUUACAUCAACUCGUCAGCACCCAUCAACUCGUCAUUUACAUCAGGUGCAAUCCCUCCCCCCUCCCCCCUCCCCGCUCCCCAUGAUAGGCCCCAGUGUGUGAUGUCCCCCUUCCCGAGUCCAAGUGAUCUCAUUGUUCAGUUCUCACCUAUGAGUGAGAACAUGCGGUGUUUGGUUUUCUGUUCUUGUGAUAGUUUGCUAAGAAUGAUGGUUUCCAGCUGCAUCCAUGUCCCUACAAAGGACACAAACUCAUCCUUUUUUAUGGCUGCAUAGUAUUCCAUGGUGUAUAUGUGCCACAUUUUCUUAAUCCAGUCUGUCACUGAUGGACAUUUGGGUUGAUUCCAAGUCUUUGCUAUUGUGAAUAGUGCCGCAAUAAACAUACGUGUGCAUGUGUCUUUAUAGCAGCAUGAUUUAGAAUCCUUUGGGUAUAUACCCAGUAAUGGGAUGGUUGGGUCAUAUGGUACAUCUAGUUCUAGAUCCUUGAGGAAUCGCCAUACUGUUUUCCAUAAUGGUUGAACUAGUUUACAAUCCCACUAACAGUGUAAAAGUGUUCCUAUUUCUCCACAUCCUCUCCAGCACCUGUUGUUUCCUGACUUUUUAAUGAUCGCCAUUCUAACUGGUGUGAGAUGGUAUCUCAUUGUGGUUUUGAUUUGCAUUUCUCUGAUGGCCAGUGAUGAUGAGCAUUUUUUCAUGUGUCUGUUGGCUGUAUGCGGUUCUUUUUCCUUGUUUUAUUGUGAAAAAUUUCAAAUACACAGAAGAGUUGAAAGAACAAUACAAUGAAUACUUACAUAUCCAGCACCUAGAUUCAAUUGUUAACAUGAAAACUUUUUUAAUAAGGGAAAUUACCUCUUUU